Acanthosepion pharaonis is the source of this 107-nucleotide non-coding RNA. NCBI's taxonomy places the organism in Eukaryota, Metazoa, Mollusca, Cephalopoda, Sepiida, Sepiidae. The record is from the annotation of a GenBank genome assembly.
CAUAUCAUAUUUGAAACACCGUUCCCGAAUGAUCACCAAAGUUAAGCAACAUCGAGCCACGUCAGUACAUAGAUGGGUAUUCGCUUGGGAAUACCAGGUGCUGUAAG